UUGAUGUAGGGUGAAUGAUUCAACAGCUAAAACAAGAAGAGAUGGUAGAAAGGGAGAGAGGAAGGAGAACAGAGACAGUGAGCAGAGAGGCAAACGGCUGAAGCCAACGUUAUAAUUUAAUCAAAAUUCAUCAACUGAGAAAUUACAAACCAAUGAUAGGUUUAAAUAAUGAAAACCUAGAAAUAUAGGGCCAAGCCCAUUAUUCAAGUCCUAAUUAAAAUACGUAAACUUAAAUAAAAGUCCAACUGAAACAAUAAUAAAAGUCCAACUAAAAUACUGAAACAAUAAUAAAAGUCCAACUAUAAAGGAUGUCCUCAUCAACUCUCCCGAGGUGGGAGAAAACUCGACCCUGUCGAGUGGAUAUAACACCGUAGACUCUCGUCAAUCUCCCAACCAUAAGCUGAGUGGUUGGGCAAGUGUCUUCCGGCGUCUGUAGAAAUGCGUCAGUGGCGGUCUGAAUCUGGUGUCCUCAUCAACUCCCCUUGGGUGGACGGGAGGCGAUCUGGACCAAGGAAGAUCCUGCUGACUCCGAUAAAGCUCUAGCAAAUCUGGAUCCAAAAACUGUAGUGUCUCCCUGGAGAUCCAUGCACAAUCAGAAUCUGGUCGACCAACCCAACGAACAAGGAAGCGCUGAACCUCUCCAUCACUAGUUAACACAGUUUCUUCAUCUAAAAUAGCAUCAAUUUUAUCUGUGUGUGCUGUGAGAGGUGGUAGUGGGUUAGAGGGGGCCAAAGAAUUAGGAUCAAGGUCCACAAAAGGAGGUAACAGGGGAUCAUCUGAAGGAAUGAAAUGGCCUUUAUAAGCUACAAGGUCUUCAACAUUGAAAGUAUGGUGGUAACCAAUGUGGGAUGGAAUGUCAACAAUAUAUGCAUUUGGACCAACUUGCUUUAAAAUUUUAAAAGGACCAGCACUACGAGCUUGCAAUUUGGAGGCGGGUCCAUGUAGACGCCGCUCUGGCCUAAUGCGAACCAUAACGUAAUUCCCAACAUUAAACUCAAUAUGUCGUUUAUGUAAAUCAGCUUGUAGUUUAUAAUUUGCAUUACUAGCUUCAAGUUGUUUAUUGAUCUCAAUGUGCAAAUCACGAAGGUGCUGUGCAAAUGCUUCGGCUGAUACUGACACUCUAGCCUGUGGGGACAUAGGGAUGAGAUCUAAUGGUUUCCUAGGCUUGUAUCCGUGAACGGUUUCAAAUGGACUCAUACCUAAUGAACGAUUUACGGAGCUAUUAUACGCGAUUUGAGCGACAGGAAGGAUUAAAUCCCAAUUUCGAAGGUUCUCCCGGACCAGGCAAUGUAAUAAGUUACCAAGACUCCGAUUAACAACUUCGGUCUGACCGUCAGUUUGAGGGUGGUAGGCUGUAGAAAAUUUCAAUUUGGUACCCAUCUUGUGCCACAAAGUCCUCCAAAAAUGGCUAGUGAAGCGAACGUCCCUAUCGGACACGAUGGUCUUGCGAAACCCAUACAGUUUGACAAUCUCAUUAAAGAAUAACAUGGCAACCUUGGACGCAUCCGAUGUUUUGCUACAGGGGAUAAAGUGAGCCAUUUUCGAGAAACGAUCGACAACCACGAAAAUAGAAUCAUGCUUCUUUGGGGUGCGUGGCAGUCCUAGCACAAAAUCCAUACUAACGUCUUGCCAAGGACAAUUGGGAACGGGAAGAGGAGUGUAUAGGCCUGUGUUCUGCUUCUUCUGUUUGGCCAAUUGACAAGUGUUACCUUUUUUUUUUUUUUUUUUUUUUUUUUUUUUCUUUUUUUUUUUUUUUUUUUUUUUUUUUUUUUUUUUUUUUUGACUUUUUUUUUUUUUGACUCUUUUUUUUUUUAAUAAUACAAAAUCAGAAUAAUAAAAUAAUAAAUGAGCCCAUUUCACAAAUGUGGGCCUCAAUUACACUCAAAAUCUUGAUAACUAAUAACCCAACCCAUUUAAUUAUUAAACCAAUUAACCCAAAACCCAAUGGAUGACUAAUACCCAACCCACUUAAUUAAUAACCCAAUUAAUAAUUAAUAAACCAAUUAAGCCCAAACCCAAGUGAUACCAAUAAACCAAGCCCAAACCCGAUUUAUACAAAGAAACCCGCCCAUUGAUAUAUCCACUGCACGGCCUCUGGAUCCACUGUCUGGCGGUGCUGUGGGAGUCGCGGUGCUGUGGGAUGCUAGCUGGCUCGAAGGAGAGUCUCAAUUACUUGGGUUGCCGGCUUACUAGCAGUCGACGGUUGAAAGAUUGAUGAACUCCCGACGGGCGGCUGGCUUGGGUGGUGUGUUUUCUGUUUUUGCACUUCUGCCCCUCUUGCUGUUAGAAUUCUGGCGACAGAGAAUGUGAAGCUGUGGUGGCGGUUGACUUCUGCAAUGAAACAAGUCGUUCCCUGUGUUGCGGCAGUUUGAAUUGGGUUGUAGUGGGAUAGGAGGCUUGGGUCACGGUCGGCGGCGGCUGAGAAUUCGAUUGAAUGGAGAUUGGGUUGGGGGUUCGGCUGAAUGGAGGUUUGGUCGCGUUGUGGAUUUGGUUUGGUUAAUAUUUGGUUUAUGGCAGUGUGUUAGUUUGUUGGCAGUGGAAUACUGUGCUUGAGUGAAAAAAAUGACGAGAGUUGCUGCAGAAUGACUUGUGUGUAUAAAUUGAUUUUGUAGACGAAGUUUUACCCAAGUUUCGCUCUGAUACCAACUUGAUGUAGGGUGAAUGAUUCAACAGCUAAAACAAGAAGAGAUGGUAGAAAGGGAGAGAGGAAGGAGAACAGAGACAGUGAGCAAAGAGGCAAACGGCUGAAGCCAACGUUAUAAUUUAAUCAAAAUUCAUCAACUGAGAAAUUACAAACCAAUGAUAGGUUUAAAUAAUGAAAACCUAGAAAUAUAGGGCCAAGCCCAUUAUUCAAGUCCUAAUUAAAAUACGUAAACUUAAAUAAAAGUCCAAUUGAAACAAUAAUAAAAGUCCAACUAAAAUACUGAAACAAUAAUAAAAGUCCAACUAUAAAGGAUGUCCUCA
This 2964-nucleotide long non-coding RNA is filed under the name Olea europaea (common olive). Its description in RNAcentral is "long non-coding RNA (OEUR_LNC005871)". Lineage: Eukaryota; Viridiplantae; Streptophyta; Magnoliopsida; Lamiales; Oleaceae. The record is from RNAcentral.